AUUGAACGCUGGCGGCAGGCCUAACACAUGCAAGUCGAGCGGAUGAAGGGAGCUUUCUCCUGGAUUCAGCGGCGGACGGGUGAGUAAUGCCUAGGAAUCUGCCUGGUAUUGGGGGAUAACGUCCGGAAACGGGCGCUAAUACCGCAUACGUCCUGAUGGAGAAAGUGGGGGAUCUUCGGACCUCACGCUAUCAGAUGAGCCUAGGUCGGAUUAGCUAGUUGGUGGGGUAAAGGCCUACCAAGGCGACGAUCCGUAACUGGGCUGAGAGGAUGAUCAGUCACACUGGAACUGAGACACGGUCCAGACUCCUACGGGAGGCAGCAGUGGGGAAUAUUGGACAAAGGGCGAAAGCCUGAUCCAGCCAUGCCGCGUGUGUGAAGAAGGUCUUCGGAUUGUAAAGCACUUUAAGUUGGGAGGAAGGGCAGUAAGUUAAUACCUUGCUGUUUUGACGUUACCAACAGAAUAAGCACCGGCUAACUUCGUG
Molecule: ribosomal RNA, 484 nt
Filed under: uncultured bacterium
Lineage: Bacteria
Description: partial 16S ribosomal RNA
Rfam family: Bacterial small subunit ribosomal RNA
Source: RNAcentral